Molecule: ribosomal RNA, 1318 nt
Filed under: uncultured marine bacterium
Lineage: Bacteria
Description: bacterial SSU rRNA
Rfam family: Bacterial small subunit ribosomal RNA
Source: RNAcentral
GAACGUACGCUGGCGGCACGCCUAACACAUGCAAGUCGAACGAAGUAGCAAUACUUAGUGGCAGACGGGUGAGUAACAUGUAGGUAUCUGCCCUUUGGCCUGGAAUAACACGAGGAAACUUGUGCUAAUACCGGAUAAGUCUUUACGGAGAAAGCUUUAUGCACCAUUGGAUGAGCCUGCACUUGAUUAGUUUGUUGGUAGGGUAAUGGCCUACCAAGACUAUGAUCAAUAGCUGAUUUGAGAGGAUGAUCAGCCACAUUGGGACUGAGACACGGCCCAAACUCCUACGGGAGGCAGCAGUGGGGAAUCUUGCACAAUGGAGGAAACUCUGAUGCAGCGAUGCCGCGUGAGUGAAGAAGGCCUUUGGGUUGUAAAGCUCUUUCGUCGGGGAAGAAAAUGACUGUACCCGAAUAAGAAGGUCCGGCUAACUUCGUGCCAGCAGCCGCGGUAAUACGAAGGGACCUAGCGUAGUUCGGAAUUACUGGGCUUAAAGAGUUCGUAGGUGGUUAAAAAAGUUGGUGGUGAAAUCCCAGAGCUUAACUCUGGAACUGCCAUCAAAACUUUUUAGCUAGAGUAUGAUAGAGGAAAGCAGAAUUUCUAGUGUAGAGGUGAAAUUCGUAGAUAUUAGAAAGAAUACCGAUUGCGAAGGCAGCUUUCUGGAUCAUUACUGACACUGAGGAACGAAAGCAUGGGUAGCGAAGAGGAUUAGAUACCCUCGUAGUCCAUGCCGUAAACGAUGUGUGUUAGACGUUGGAAAUUUAUUUUCAGUGUCGCAGCGAAAGCGAUAAACACACCGCCUGGGGAGUACGACCGCAAGGUUAAAACUCAAAUGAAUUGACGGGGACCCGCACAAGUAGUGGGGCAUGUGGUUUAAUUCGAAGAUACGCGCAGAACCUUACCAACACUUGACAUGUUCGUCGCGACUCUAAGAGAUUAGAGUUUUCGGUUCGGCCGGACGAAACACAGGUGCUGCAUGGCUGUCGUCAGCUCGUGUCGUGAGAUGUUGGGUUAAGUCCCGCAACGAGCGCAACCCUCACUUUUAGUUGCCAUCAUUAAGUUGGGCACUCUGAAAGAACUGCCAGUGAUAAGCUGGAGGAAGGUGGGGAUGACGUCAAGUCCUCAUGGCCCUUACGUGUUGGGCUACACACGUGCUACAAUGGUAUCUACAACAGGAAGCAAAACAGCGAUGUUAAGCAAAUCCCGAAAAGAUACCUCAGUUCGGAUUGCACUCUGCAACUCGAGUGCAUGAAGCUGGAAUUACUAGUAAUCGUGGAUCAGCGUGCCACGGUGAAUGCGUUCCCGGGUCUUGUACUCACCG